CUGGCUUUCUCCAGAAGCUUCUUUCUCUGUGUUCAUCAUCUUUUUUUAUUCUCGUUCAUUUUUCAGCACUAAAUUCAUAUGUUUACAUGGUAUCAGAGCCUGAUAAUGUUCCGAUCCUCCUAUGUCAUGUGUUAUCGAUCUAGUGUGGUUCAUAUGUUUACGUGGUAUCAGAGCCUAAUAAUAUUCCGAUCCACCUGUGUUAUGUGUUAUCGAUCCUGUGUGAAGCGUUUGCUGAAAGUUUUCUCAUGGUUGACCAAGAGAGAUGCUGUUCACAACUGUUCCGAUGAACAUUUGGUGGACAAUCGGACUUUUUCUGUCAUUUGAGGUUCUGAUUUAGUGUCAGCAGAUAAUUUCUCAUGGUUACCCAAGAGAGAUGCCGUUCACAACUGUUCCGAUGAACAUUUGGUGGACAAUCGAACUUUUUCUGUCAUUUGAGGUUCCAAUUUAGUGUCAGCAGAUGUUUUGGGUAAUUUUUCGAUGUCUGUGGCCUUAUUCCGACGAGUUGUUCGACUUCUAGGGUUUUCAAUUUUCUGACCUGGAGUUUGAUGUUAUCCGAUGACUUUAUCUUCGGUUAAUAGACGUUUUGGGUGACUUUC
This 596-nucleotide long non-coding RNA is filed under the name Nicotiana benthamiana. Its description in RNAcentral is "long non-coding RNA (NBEN_LNC032422)". Lineage: Eukaryota; Viridiplantae; Streptophyta; Magnoliopsida; Solanales; Solanaceae. The record is from RNAcentral.